GAUUUCUGAUUGACCACCCUGGCCCGCGGCUAUCCGGUCGUGAGUGCUGGUGUGAGUCUGUCAUCCUUCUAGAGAGCCAUGCCUGCUGUUCACUCAGCUGGGCGUGUGCGAUCUAGAUCAUUUACUUUGAAAAAAUUAGAGUGUUUAAAGCAGGCUUAUGCUGUGAAUACAUUAGCAUGGAAUAAUAAUAUAGGACUUUUGUUCUGUUGGUUCAUAGAAUGAAAGUAAUGAUUGAUAGGGAUAGUUGGCCAGAGGUGAAAUUCUUGGAUUCGCUGAAGACUAGCUACUGCGAAAGCAUU
Molecule: ribosomal RNA, 299 nt
Filed under: uncultured Paracercomonas
Lineage: Eukaryota; Cercozoa; Cercomonadida; Cercomonadidae
Description: partial 18S ribosomal RNA
Rfam family: Eukaryotic small subunit ribosomal RNA (bases 61-299)
Source: RNAcentral